Molecule: ribosomal RNA, 497 nt
Filed under: uncultured bacterium
Lineage: Bacteria
Description: partial 16S ribosomal RNA
Rfam family: Bacterial small subunit ribosomal RNA
Source: RNAcentral
GAUGAACGCUGGCGGCGUGCCUAAUACAUGCAAGUCGAGCGAACAGACGAGGAGCUUGCUCCUCUGACGUUAGCGGCGGACGGGUGAGUAACACGUGGAUAACCUACCUAUAAGACUGGGAUAACUUCGGGAAACCGGAGCUAAUACCGGAUAAUAUCUUGAACCGCAUGGUUCAAUAGUGAAAGACGGUUUUGCUGUCACUUAUAGAUGGAUCCGCGCCGCAUUAGCUGGUUGGUAAGGUAACGGCCUACCAAGGCGACGAUGCGUAGCCGACCUAAGAGGGUGAUCGCCCACACGGGAGGUGAGACGGGGUCCAUGCUCCUGCGAGACGGCGCAGUAGGGUAUCUUCCGCAGUGGGCGAGAGCCUUGCGGAGUAGGGCCGCGUGAGAUGUAGAGGUCUUCGGAGCGUAAAACUGUGUUAUUAGUGAAAAACAAAUGUGUAAGUAAAUAUGCACGUCUUGACGGUACCUAAUCAGAAAGCCACGGCUAACUACGUG